AGGUAGUAUUAAAAUAGAAACCUAUAUGGUUUGGCGGCAUUUCAUCUUAUUAGAGGAACAUGUUUAAUAAUCGACACCUCACGAUACAUUUCACUUAUUAUUUAAUCUUAUAUACCUCCGUCCCGAAUAAAUUCAAAAUUCUUAUCCUCAAAAACAUUAUAGCAGAAUAGGUAAAGGUGUAGACAAUAAAUAAGCUAAAAUGUGUUACCUUAAAAAUAAUUUAAGGAAAAUUAAUCAUAACGAAUUCAGAAACCGGAUUUAAAAGUAAUAUAUAAAUAGUAUUUUCAUAUGAAUCAGAAAAUAAAUGUGC
Molecule: ribosomal RNA, 310 nt
Filed under: Allende sp. CG103
Lineage: Eukaryota; Metazoa; Arthropoda; Arachnida; Araneae; Tetragnathidae
Description: partial 12S ribosomal RNA
Source: RNAcentral